AACGCACAUUGCGCCCCUUGGUAUUCCUUAGGGCAUGCCUGUUCGAGCGUCAUUUACCUCAAAGGCCCCCCGCUUCUGUGGGGGGGUUGUUGGGCGCAUGUCCCGCCACAGGUGCGGACACGCCCUAAAUGCAUUGGCGGCCUUCGUCUUGGGCUAUCGAGCGCAGCAGACUCGCGCCUCUGGUCCAGUGCGUUGGCGUCCAUGAAGCAAAUCACAUCUUGACCUCGGAUCAGGUAGGGAUACCCGCUGAACUUAA
RNAcentral lists this unclassified non-coding RNA (256 nucleotides) under uncultured fungus. Its description in RNAcentral is "partial contains 5.8S ribosomal RNA, internal transcribed spacer 2, and large subunit ribosomal RNA". Lineage: Eukaryota; Fungi. The record is from RNAcentral.